Brassica rapa (field mustard) is the source of this 2550-nucleotide long non-coding RNA. RefSeq lists it as uncharacterized. NCBI's taxonomy places the organism in Eukaryota, Viridiplantae, Streptophyta, Magnoliopsida, Brassicales, Brassicaceae. The record is from RefSeq and is a predicted model, not a curated record.
AAAUAAUUAAACAUUUAGUUUUUGUUUAAUUUUUAAAAUAAACUAUAUAGUUUAGAAUUUGUUUUCAUUGGUUUAAGGUAGUAAAGAUUAAUCAUUGUUAGAUAAUAUGAUUUUUGCUAUUUAAAAAAAAUCUUUAUAACUUUAAAAGUUAACAUCAACAAAUAUUUAAAUAAUUAUCAUAUCAAGGUAUAGUAUUAUAACAUUAAAAUUAUAUCUGUUUAAUUUAUAUUAUCCAUAAAUCUAAUGAAUCAUCUAUUGGUUAAAUCUAAUUAUUGAUAGCCCAAUAAAAAAUGUUAGUAUGCCCAAAAUUUAAAUGAUAAGAUUAGAGAUUAAAUGUAAUAUGACUUUCUAGGAAUAUGUUCAUUAGGUCCAUUUUUAAAAAAAUCACACAUGAAUCAAAGUUGUGACUUCUGUUUUAAUAUAUAAGAUAGUAGUAAUCAGUAAAAGGAUGCGGAGAAGAAAAAAUAUACGAAGAAUAAGAACUGAAACUGUCAGAGAGUGUGGUCCUCUAACCUAAAGGCCUAGGAUGCGAUCAAAUCUCGAUCUAGUCUUCCACAUCACUUUUAAGGUCACUAAUCAUGUUUCAGUUAUAUUAGUAAUAAGAUUAAAUCAUUCUUUAAUUUGUUCAACAAUAUCGUAUAUAACUGGCUAUUUAGAUAUGUGUGAACUGGAUUGCCCACAAAUGUUUGAGCUUAGAUAAUAUGGGUCGAGCGAGUUGGCUGAUAACCAGUGUACUGCUACGUGGUUCUCUGUUUACACAUGAGUCAUGACGAAACAGCGACAUCGGAAUAUGCUUACAAAAGAUGAAAAUAAUUAGGAUUUUGCUGAGAAAAAUAAUUUAUGAACAUCAACUAUUACUGACAAAUCUUCUGAACAUUAUUUGUGGAGUGAUUUGUAUAUGUGUCACGAUUAUAUUUAUUCUCAUUAAAAAAAGAUAACAUUGCUUAUGAAAAAUAUGACAUUGCAUUGAUUUAAUUGUGACAUGUAUAAUUUUCCUUAAACUAUGUAUAUAUAUAUGUAUGUAUCUUUUGGCAAUGUUUUCUAAGUAUAAUAAUGACUAAUUACUCUUAUAUCAUCACUAAAAUAAUUGUUCUAUAGAAUUAUUUAUUUUUAGCAAAAUUUUUGAAAUAUAUUAAUAACUAAUUACUCAUAUAUAUCACAAUUAAGUAAACUAUAUAUCACACAGAUAAAAAUGAACCAGUUAUAUUUACAAAUAUAUAUAGUUUUUAUAUCAACUUAUAUAUCAACUUAUAUAUACAUAUAUUAUCAAAGUGUACAUCGACAAAUGCAAAACUAAAGCAAACUAAUCAAAUAAAAAGUUUGUUAAUACUUAAGUGAUUAAAUUUUUAUUUGAAUUUAUUGAUUUGUUAUAGGUUGUUAACAUAUUGAUGUUUACCAGAUUAACAUCUUUUAACUAAAACACACAAAAAUAUAUAUUUUUUUUAUAAUUUCUAUAUUUAAAUAAAAACAUAUUUAAAAUUAAGGAAUAAAAGAUUAUUUAAAAAUAAAUAAUCAUUGAAACAAUAUAAUAUACAAGUUUAUAUAAAAUGUAAUUUAACUCUGUCGAACUUUAAAAACCAAGUGGAAUAGUUAAACCAAGUCAAAAUAAACAACUACAUUUGCGAUUUUCUUUUAUAGAGAGAUGAAGUCAAAAUAUUUAAGUAUAGAUGAAGUUAGGGUAGAAACUAGAAAAGGUAAAUAUUUACAUUUUUAUUGGUACCUAGCCAGCCGCUUAGGUCCAACUAAAAGAAUCCAAUAGCCGACAUGAAUAUGUGAUUAGUUUCUAUACGCAACGUAUUAUUAUUGAAAAUUAGGUUUAAUCAAAUCAAUUUACAUUAAAAUUUUGAAAAACCGGUGUAACAAAAAAAAAUGAAAACUGUCAUUGACAUAACAUCCGUAAUUGAACUAAAUAUGGAAUGCAGCAUCGAAGCUAAAUCAUAUCAAAAAAACUGUUGUUGUUAUUUAACAUGAUGUUGAUUUGGUAUAUGCAACACACGGUUCACACCAUCCCACAUAUACGGGAUAUUUAUAAAACUGUUUCACGAUAUUUCUACUAAAUUUAUUAUGUGGAAAAGUGCUAUUUAAUAAAUUUAUUUUAGAAGAAUGAUGUUUCUGACAUUUGCUGCUUAAUUCACAGCAGGAUAUACAUCUAACGUCCGUACAAAACCCACAAUAUCAAUGUGUCUUAGUCCUAUAUAUGUAUGCUUUGAUUUGAAUAAAAUGUUUGAAUUUCUUAAAUAAUUUACACAAAAAAACUUUCUUUUGCAACUGCAAAAAAAACUUUCUUAUGAAUUUAAUGCUAAAAGUAUCUAAUUUCUGUUCAACUAAUCGCUAAUGUGAAUAGUUUAAAGUCUUAAAACCCACAACAAUUUAGAUAGAUCUAAAACUUUUUCAUCUAAUUAAAAAUAUUAUUUAUACUUGGGAAUUUGCGGAUCAUGAGUUGCUUAACAAAUAAAAAAACACAUUAUGGAUUUUAAAUCUGGUUAUUACUAUUUAAAUUCACAUAGCAAAGUGGAGUCAGUUUUGUAAGCGCGGAUGAGUCGAAAAAUA